Molecule: long non-coding RNA, 1049 nt
Organism: Sarcophilus harrisii (Tasmanian devil)
Lineage: Eukaryota; Metazoa; Chordata; Mammalia; Dasyuromorphia; Dasyuridae
Exons: 5
Source: RefSeq, a predicted model, not a curated record
UUUCUGUCAUUUUUCGAUUCCUCUUUUUUUGUUAUAAAAAUCGCUCUGUAAAUCACUCCUGUUCUCUUGACCUCUGAGGAUUCAGAUAACCUGAUUUGGGAUGCAAAUGCUAAUUUUGCAAAUUAAAUCAGAGAUGGCUUGGCAACUUUGUUCUCGGUUUCCUUUUUAUUUCAGAUAAUUAAUUUUUAUAGUUGGCACCCAAGAUGGAACCUAAGGAAUUCACUUCCUUAAGUGGUCCUCUCCACAGAAUUUUCCCAAGAGCUCUCUGGUCACUGGGAGACUUCUCAAAGAAAGGGCUGUGUUGGAGGCCUGGACUUUAUCCUUAGUCCAAAGGUGGGCGAAGACAGAGUCAAAGUUCUCUUUGAAGUGGUCCUUGAUAACAACCUUGAUCAGCUCAAACAGCCACUGUCGGUCAAAGUCGUCCACCAGGCGGUCGUAGAACACUCGCAGGACCUCAUGGACAAAGAGCCGCACCAUCGUGUGCUUGUGCUCCACCGCUUCCCUGUCGAUGAGCAGGCAGCCCAGAAUGACCCGGGCGAAAUCCCGCAGAAAGGAGCUGGAGACUUCACCAGACUGCUCACAGUCCAUGAAACAAAAAAAAAAGAUGAAAAAUUCCUGGACAAAAUGACUUCCACGUUCCUUUUAGCAAUAAAAUUCCCAGCAAAUGAAAAAUUGUAUUUACAAAGUUGGAGCAUAAGAGAAUUGCUUACUUCUGAUAGAUGCAUUAAUGUUGCCUGAUCUAAGUUACAAUGGAGUUGUCUACAAGUAACAGGUAACUGAGAGAUACUUGAAAGCUCCAGGAGACAGGAUGCUUCAAUUCUCCAUUCCUUGAUGGGUCUCUGAAGGAUUCCCUCAGACAUAGCCACGGGCAGCCGAUCCUCAUCCUACUUCAGAACUCACCACAAGCAUGACUGGAACUCCACUGUUCAUCACCACUCUAGCUAAUAAAUAAUGGCCAGCACAGACCUUGCAUUUUUUCUGACGAACCCGUAAAGCCACAGGUGUCAACCAAUCAAAGAGUUCUUUCAGCAGAGCCUGGUGUUCUUCUC